UACGUAGGGUGCGGAGCGUUUGUCCGGAAUUACUGGGCGUAAAGAGUUCGUAGGCGGUUUGUCGCGUCGUUCGUGAAAACUUGGGGCUUAACUCCAAGCGUGCGGGCGAUACGGGCAGACUUGAGUACUACAGGGGAGACUGGAAUUCCUGGUGUAGCGGUGAAAUGCGCAGAUAUCAGGAGGAACACCGGUGGCGAAGGCGGGUCUCUGGGCCAAUACUGACGCUCAUGCACGAAAGCGUGGGGGAGCAAACAGG
This 256-nucleotide ribosomal RNA is filed under the name uncultured bacterium. RNAcentral describes it as "partial 16S ribosomal RNA". It matches the Rfam family "Bacterial small subunit ribosomal RNA", at positions 524 to 776 of the family's 1533-position model. The record is from RNAcentral.